GCGCCUAUAGCUCAACUGGUAGAGCAACGCCCUUGUAAGGCGUAGGUUGCAGGUUCAACUCCUGUUGGGCGCUCCA
Molecule: transfer RNA, 76 nt
Filed under: Marinospirillum insulare
Lineage: Bacteria; Pseudomonadati; Pseudomonadota; Gammaproteobacteria; Oceanospirillales; Oceanospirillaceae
Description: tRNA-Thr
Rfam family: tRNA
About the family: Transfer RNA (tRNA) molecules are approximately 80 nucleotides in length. Their secondary structure includes four short double-helical elements and three loops (D, anti-codon, and T loops).
Source: RNAcentral